RNAcentral lists this long non-coding RNA (537 nucleotides) under Pan troglodytes (chimpanzee). Its description in RNAcentral is "long non-coding RNA NONPTRT008135". The record is from RNAcentral. Lineage: Eukaryota; Metazoa; Chordata; Mammalia; Primates; Hominidae.
CCCGCCUCUACCAUUUACCCGCCCAGCCUGGAGCGUCCGGGCCGGCAAGUCCAGCGCCGGGGCCUCACUGUUUCCGCGUGUGAAGCGUUCGAAGACUGCCAUGGACCCGCGGCCGGAGACCGCAUCCGCCUGUAGCACUAACGCGUCCCGCAGCGCUGCGUAGCCGCACAGCACCACCGCAGGGCGCGGGCCCAGCCGCACUGUGAACACCCGGCCCCAGCGGCCGGAGAGCUACGGGAGGAGUUCUAGUCCCCAGCCCCACCUUCACGAAUCCAGAAUUCCGUCCCCCAAUUCCUGUCGGGAAUGGAGUGCGCGGUCCAGGCCUCCGGACUGCAGCUGCAAGUUCUCCAGCAAUGGGAGCAGCCUGGGCCGGGGAGGUAGGGACCCCCGCAUCUGAGCGCGGCACCCACCCUACCCCCACCACGCCGGCGCCAGCACCAGAAGCCACAACAGCAGCGCAGCGAUACCCGCGAUCAUCAUGCCUGCAAUUCUCCACGCCUGCACCCCUUCACCUCUAUUUGAUUUCCAAGGGGUCUU